UAUCAUUAACUGAAUCCAUAGGUUAAUGAGGCGAACCGGGGGAACUGAAACAUCUAAGUACCCCGAGGAAAAGAAAUCAACCGAGAUUCCCCCAGUAGCGGCGAGCGAACGGGGAGGAGCCCAGAGCCUGAAUCAGCAUGUGUGUUAGUGGAAGCGUCUGGAAAGGCGCGCGAUACAGGGUGACAGCCCCGUACACAAAAGCGCAUGUGCUGUGAGCUCGAUGAGUAGGGCGGGACACGUGGUAUCCUGUCUGAAUAUGGGGGGACCAUCCUCCAAGGCUAAAUACUCCUGACUGACCGAUAGUGAACCAGUACCGUGAGGGAAAGGCGAAAAGAACCCCGGCGAGGGGAGUGAAAAAGAACCUGAAACCGU
Molecule: ribosomal RNA, 372 nt
Filed under: Salmonella enterica subsp. enterica serovar Gallinarum
Lineage: Bacteria; Pseudomonadati; Pseudomonadota; Gammaproteobacteria; Enterobacterales; Enterobacteriaceae
Also listed under: 9 other names
Description: partial 23S ribosomal RNA
Rfam family: Bacterial large subunit ribosomal RNA
Source: RNAcentral